RNAcentral lists this ribosomal RNA (754 nucleotides) under uncultured bacterium. RNAcentral's name for it is "bacterial SSU rRNA". It matches the Rfam family "Bacterial small subunit ribosomal RNA", at positions 94 to 863 of the family's 1533-position model. The record is from RNAcentral.
AGUGGCGGACGGGUGAGUAACGCGUGAGUAACCUGCCUUUCGGAGGGGGACAACAGCUGGAAACGGCUGCUAAUACCGCAUAAUGUAUAUUGGUGGUAUCAUCGAUAUACCAAAGAUUUAUCGCCGAAAGAUGGACUCGCGUCUGAUUAGCUAGUUGGUAGGGUAAAGGCCUACCAAGGCUUCGAUCAGUAGCCGGACUGAGAGGUUGAACGGCCACAUUGGGACUGAGAUACGGCCCAGACUCCUACGGGAGGCAGCAGUGGGGAAUAUUGGGCAAUGGGCGCAAGCCUGACCCAGCAACGCCGCGUGAAGGAAGAAGGCUUUCGGGUUGUAAACUUCUUUGACGAGGGAAGAAAGAAAUGACGGUACCUCGAAAACAAGCCACGGCUAACUACGUGCCAGCAGCCGCGGUAAUACGUAGGUGGCAAGCGUUAUCCGGAUUUACUGGGUGUAAAGGGCGCGUAGGCGGGAGAACAAGUCAGAUGUGAAAUGUGGGGGCUUAACCCUCAAGCUGCAUUUGAAACUGUACUUCUUGAGUAUCGGAGAGGCAGGCGGAAUUCCUAGUGUAGCGGUGAAAUGCGUAGAUAUUAGGAGGAACACCAGUGGCGAAGGCGGCCUGCUGGACGACAACUGACGCUGAGGCGCGAAAGCGUGGGGAGCAAACAGGAUUAGAUACCCUGGUAGUCCACGCUGUAAACGAUGAAUACUAGGUGUGGGGGGACUAACCCCCUCCGUGCCGCAGUUAACACAAUAA